AGGGCUGUGGACUACCCCUCCCGUGAGGUAGUGCGCAACUCCACCCUGUUCGCGGCGUCUUCGAACGCGCCGCGGCAGCCAUGUUGGACGUGGCCAGCACAGGGGCCGGCACCACGGGGUUAUCGAAGCAGCUGUCAAGAUGCUAGGGUCCCUGGUGUUGAGGAGAAAAGCACCGGCGCCACGGCUACUCCUCCGGCUGCUCAGGUCCCCAACGCUCCGGGGCCAUGGAGAUGCAGCCCUGUUGGAAGCUGCCCGUGCCAACAAUACACAAGAAGUCAGCAGGCUGUUGUCAGAAGGUGCAGAUGUCAAUGCAAAGCACAGACUUGGCUGGACAGCACUCAUGGUGGCAGCCAUCAACCGAAACAACAGUGUGGUACAGGUCCUGCUUGCUGCUGGGGCAGAUCCAAACCUUGGAGAUGAUUUCAGCAGUGUUUACAAGACUGCCAAGGAACAGGGAAUCCAUUCUUUGGAAGAUGGGGGACAGGACGGUGCAAGCCGGCACAUCACAAACCAGUGGACAAGUGCCCUGGAGUUCAGGAGAUGGCUAGGACUCCCCGCUGGCGUCCUGAUCACCCGAGAGGAUGACUUCAACAACAGGCUGAACAACCGCGCCAGUUUCAAGGGCUGCACGGCCUUGCACUAUGCUGUUCUUGCUGAUGACUACCGCACUGUCAAGGAGCUGCUUGAUGGAGGUUCCUCCAGAGAAUUGAGCCCUCAUUCUCCAAGGCAUCCAUUGUACACAGGAAUUAACUUCUCUCCCAGGAAUCUAAAAUGGUACUAGCUAUAUAUAUAUAUAC
Molecule: small RNA, 797 nt
Filed under: Pongo abelii (Sumatran orangutan)
Lineage: Eukaryota; Metazoa; Chordata; Mammalia; Primates; Hominidae
Description: processed transcript
Source: RNAcentral